Long non-coding RNA from Gasterosteus aculeatus aculeatus (three-spined stickleback), 2318 nucleotides. The record is from Ensembl. NCBI's taxonomy places the organism in Eukaryota, Metazoa, Chordata, Actinopteri, Perciformes, Gasterosteidae.
GAGGAGUCGCCCCCUGCUGGUCACUACAGAGAAGUAGAGUCAUUUCCUCAUAGACGUCUAUGGGAGCAGAGGAGUCGCCCCCUGCUGGUCACGCUUUGACUUUCACCAAGUCAUCUCCAAGAAACGACUCACAAACGUUUUAUAUGUCGCCCAAAGUCCCAUUUGAUCGCUUCACGAUCCGGGUCUCGUUGAGGCUCCGCCUCGUAGUCCGGAUUCGGGGAUUAAUCAAGUUUGGAGCGCGACGAUGCAGCAGAAGCACCUGCUGCCCUUUGCUCCGUCUGCUGCCGCUUUCUGGUUGCUAUGCCAACCACAAGGGUUGCUCACGUCUGAGCAUGCUCAGUGCGGCUUCCUUCUCCUCAUAACAAUAGCCAGAGCGAGGGCUCUCUCACACACACACACACUCACACACACUCACACACACAGCUUCAGACGGUAAGUACACAGACCUGCAGAAAAGCAUUGAUCUCCUUCAUGUGAGUCUGUAGCUGCAGAACCAGAGGAAGCAUGUGCUCUUUAUUUAUUUCUUUUAUACAACACCAUUGUUCCACUCCAGGUGUGUGUGUGUGUGUGUGUGUGUGUGUGCGUUGUUUUUAUGAAUGGUGCAUUCUGCUCACUUGGAUGUGUAGUAGUCGACAAAGCAGAGGAGUCGCUCAAUAAUUCAUGUGGAGGGAAGUCAGCAUGUGUAACGCGACGCUUUAUUUCUUACCACGUCCUCCCUUAUUUAUACCUGCAUUAUUAUUCUUUGUUCAGAUCAUGUGACUCUUAAACAGUAGAUCCAGUUGUUAUUAUACUCAUUAUUAUAUUAUCGCUGGAUUCCUGCUGUUGUCUCUGCGUGUAAACUAGAGACGUAACCAUGGCGAUGGGGCUCUAAUCAAUUCGAGCAUGUCAUGUUUGAGUAAAUAGUCAGAGACGUGUCAGUUAUUCAUCAACAAACAAUAAUCCCGCCAGACAACAAAUUAUUAUCUCAGUAUUAAUCCGUCAAAGACUGUCAGACCUCUAGACCUGCAGGCUCCACUUGUAGGUCCUAGACUUGUAGGCUCUAGACUUGUAGGUUCUAGACUUGUAGGCUCUAGUCUUGUAGGCUCUAGAUUUGUAGGCUCUAGACUUGUAGGCUCUAGACUUGUAGACUCUAUCCUUGUAGGCUCUAGACUUGUAGGCUCUAGUUUGUAGGCUCUAGACUUGUAGGCUCUAGUCUUGUAGGCUCUAGAUUUGUAGGGUCUAGACUUGUAGGCUCUAGACUUGUAGACUCUAGCCUUGUAGGUUCUAGACUUGUAGGCUCUAGACUUGUAGACUCUAGCCUUGUAGGUUCUAGACUUGUAGGCUCUAGACUUGUAGGCUCUAUUCUUGUAGGCUCUAGACUUGUAGGUUCUAUACUUGUAGGCUCUAGAUUUGUAGGCUCUAGACUUGUAGGCUCUAUAUUUGUAGGUCUUGGACUUGUAGGUGUUAGAUUUUUAGGUCCUAGACUUGUAGGCUCUAGACCUGUAGGCUCUAGACUUGUAGGCUCUAUAUUUGUAGGUCUUGGACUUGUAGGUGUUAGAUUUUUAGGUCCUAGACUUGUAGGCUCUAGACCUGUAGGCUCCAGACUUGUAGGUCUUAUACUUGUAGGCUCUAGACUUGUAGGCUCCAGACUUGUAGGUCUUAUACUUGUAGGCUCUAGACAGAAGUGUAGACUCAGAACCAGUAGACUCUAGGCUUUUAGACUCUAGACUUGUAUCCUCCUCUUCCCUGAAACCCUGUAAGUAUUGAUUCAGGUCCUCGGAGGCUUGUUAUCAUCAGACUGAUAUAUUAAUAAUGUUAAUAUAAAAUAUUGAUAAACGGAUCUCGAUGCUUCUUCCAUCGGUCAAAUAAAUCUUAGUAGUUACGGGUGAAGAAGAGGUGAACUAGUGUGGACUUAAGAGGUCACAUGAGGCUAAUUCUCCGUAAUCACUGAACCAGUCUGUCUUCCUUAAAAAGAUGCUGGUGUUCUAUUUGCUCCUUUGCUUUGAAGACAAAAGGAGAAGCAGUAAUCUGCUCCAGUGUCAGAGGUCAGCUUCAUUUUGACGUCUGGUGACCAUGUUUUGAGGGAACAGAGCUCAGAGCCUUCAUCAGGUCUCUUCCUCCUCUAUAUAUAUAUAUAUAUAUAUGUAUAUAUAUAUAUCAUCAUAUAUCUAUCUAUCUAUCUAGCUUAUAUAUAUAUAUAUAUAUACUGUAUAUAUGUAUGCGCUUCAUUUCUUCACCUCAUCAAAUGUGUGAGGAUCACAAACCAUCACCUGGGGACUGUAAUCAAUCGGUACCACGGUUACAUCUGGGUGUGUGUGUGUGUCUGUGCCCAGCAGAGU